AUACAUGUCCUGGCUGUUAUUAUUAUUCACUAUUGUCACUAUUUUUAUCUUUAAGUCUACAUGGUUGGAAAAGGACCCAUGAGUAAAGCACGUGACCGUUGUAUUUUUAUUGAUGGCAUUCCUUAACUCUGUUCUCUAGCCAUGUUCAACGGCCAAAUGCUGUUUGACAGACAGAUGCAUGUUAAGAUGGAUGACAAGUCUAUGCCAGCUGAUGAUUUCCACCCGGUGGAGAAAGCUCCUCAGUUACCACGGGGUCUGGGAGGGAUUGGGAUGGGCCUGGGACCAGGAGGACAACCUAUCAAUGCCAACCGGCUGAGUGGUGGAGGAGGAAUGGGCAACAUGGGCCCUGCAGGUUAGUACUGACCCCUAACCUCGCCAUAAUAAUCCAGCAAACACACUGUUACUAUUUAAACCACACAGAGAGACUGCAGGUCAGGAGGAGCCAGUCGGUUCAUACAUACGAUAGUUAUCGGUUGUGAAGAGUAGCUGUUUGUUUUAAACCCUCUGAUGCCUGUUGUUCCUGUACCUUCUCCAAGCACUUACAUCACAUACUGACGCCCCCUCGACCACUGACG
This is a long non-coding RNA of Salvelinus sp. IW2-2015, 575 nucleotides long. RefSeq lists it as uncharacterized. Lineage: Eukaryota; Metazoa; Chordata; Actinopteri; Salmoniformes; Salmonidae. The record is from RefSeq and is a predicted model, not a curated record.